RNA transcript from Lathyrus oleraceus (garden pea), 777 nucleotides. RefSeq lists it as uncharacterized. The record is from RefSeq and is a predicted model, not a curated record. The transcript is spliced from 6 exons. Lineage: Eukaryota; Viridiplantae; Streptophyta; Magnoliopsida; Fabales; Fabaceae.
UUUUAUUAAAACUGUAUGUAGAACUAUUAUUGAAUUAGAAGCUCACAGAAAGGGCUAAACCUAAAAAUUUGAUACGGUCGGUCUGAAUCGUUCUGCAUCCAAUCUCGCGUCCUGCGUCCACGACCGGCAGCACCGCUCCUGCCUCUUGCGUUGCGUGUCUUCGCAGCCUUCGCCGUCGCUCUCGCUCCUUGCUAAGAAUAACAUGUGUGGUGGUAAUUCAGGUUUUGCUCUUCAAUUUUUGUAUAACAAUGGAGGCUGCAAAAUUUGAACCGAAAUACUCUGGAGAGUUGUUGAAGCAUAUGGAUAAACAGAAUGAGGUCCUUAUGGAAACUUACAGAUCAAUGUUGCAUGAAUUGCAAAAACUUCAGGUGGAAGAAGAGAUGCUUAUGCGCAAGCUUUAUGAAGUUAUGUCUGUCCAUGGUCUCACUAAACAGAUUGAAGACAACUCCAACGAUUCCCAUGAUAGUGCUGGAGCUGAACAGUUCAAUAAUAAAGUCAAUACAAAUCUGGUUUGACACAGAUCACCUAUAGGUUACAACAGUAUAUAAAGAAAAAAGAUCAUGAUGGAGUCAAUGACAAUAAAUCUCACUAGAAAAUACAUGCAGUUGGAGCUUUAACAAGUGUGAUUGGAACUUCGAAUGUCCAAGAAGAUGGAUUUAUUGAAGUCCAAGAGGAUAUGAAUGUUUGAUAGUUUUGUUUCUCAUUAAGUUUCACAUCAAAAUUUUAACCAAUAUUAGAAGUGUUUAUAUAGUUCAUUUAUACAUUGUUUGUUGUCAA